GAUGAACGCUGGCGGCGUGCCUAAUACAUGCAAGUCGAGCGAACACACGAGGAGAUCGCGCCUCUGACGUUAGCGGCGGACGGGCGAGUAACGCGUGGAUAACCUUCCUCUAAGACUGGGAUAACUUCGGGAGACCGCAGCUGCUAACAGAUCAUAUAAUGAACGGCAUGGUUCAAUAGUGCAAGGCGGCUUUGCUGUCACUUAUAGAUGGAUUCGCGCCGCAUUAGCUAGUUGGUAAGGUAACGGCUUACCAAGGCAACGAUGCUUAGCCGACCUGAGAGGGUGAACGGCCACACGGGAACUGAGACACGGUCCAGACUCCUGCGAGGGGCAGCAGUAGGGAAUCGUCCGAAAGGGGCGAAAGCCUGACAGCGCAACGCCGCGUGAGAGAAGAAGCUCUGGGUAUCGUAAAACUCUGUUAGUAGGAAAAAAGAAGCGUGUAAGUAACUAGGCGCGUCGACACGAUACCUAGUCAGAAAGCCGCCUCUAACUGCG
This 495-nucleotide ribosomal RNA is filed under the name uncultured bacterium. RNAcentral's name for it is "partial 16S ribosomal RNA". It matches the Rfam family "Bacterial small subunit ribosomal RNA", at positions 28 to 505 of the family's 1533-position model. The record is from RNAcentral.